UACGUAGGUGGCAAGCGUUGUCCGGAAUUAUUGGGCGUAAAGCGCGCGCAGGCGGUCCUUUAAGUCUGAUGUGAAAGCCCACGGCUCAACCGUGGAGGGUCAUUGGAAACUGGGGGACCUGAGUGCAGAAGAGGAAAGUGGAAUUCCAAGUGUAGCGGUGAAAUGCGUAGAGAUUUGGAGGAACACCAGUGGCGAAGGCGACUUUCUGGUCUGUAACUGACGCUGAGGCGCGAAAGCGUGGGGAGCAAACAGG
Molecule: ribosomal RNA, 253 nt
Filed under: uncultured bacterium
Lineage: Bacteria
Description: partial 16S ribosomal RNA
Rfam family: Bacterial small subunit ribosomal RNA
Source: RNAcentral